Molecule: small nuclear RNA, 144 nt
Filed under: Echinops telfairi (small Madagascar hedgehog)
Lineage: Eukaryota; Metazoa; Chordata; Mammalia; Afrosoricida; Tenrecidae
Description: U4 spliceosomal RNA (ENSETEG00000020685.1)
Rfam family: U4 spliceosomal RNA
About the family: U4 small nuclear RNA (U4 snRNA) is a component of the major U2-dependent spliceosome. The structure of U4 snRNA from yeast and human has been reported. U4 snRNA presents a k-turn RNA motif in the 5p-SL related to recognition of Snu13 protein.
Source: RNAcentral
AGCUUUGUGCAGUGGCAAUAUCGUAGCCAAUGACAUCUACCCGAGGAGGCGCGAUUAUUGCUAAUUGAAAACUUUUCCCAACACCCCGCUGUGACGACUUGAAAUUUGGUCGGCAUUGGCGAUUUUUGACGGUCUCCACGGAGA